Molecule: small nucleolar RNA, 131 nt
Organism: Jaculus jaculus (lesser Egyptian jerboa)
Lineage: Eukaryota; Metazoa; Chordata; Mammalia; Rodentia; Dipodidae
Source: Ensembl
AGACCAGCCAAUUAAUCUGCUUAUCUGAAUGUGUUUCCGCAGAAAUGUAGAAACAGCUGGCAAUAGUGACGCCACUACAUGAGCCUUAAGGACCACUGAGGUCACUGCGGUCCCUCAAAAUGACUACCGUA